CCCUUAGAUGUCCGGGGCCGCACGCGCGCUACACUGAAGGAAUCAGCGUGGCUUUCUCCCUGACCCGAAAGGGUUGGGAAACCCGUUGAAUCUCCUUCGUGAUAGGGAUUGGGGCUUGAAAUUGUUCCCCAUGAACGAGGAAUUCCCAGUAAGCGCGGGUCAUAAGCUCGCGUUGAUUACGUCCCUGCCCUUUGUACACACCGCCCGUCGCUACUACCGAUUGAACGGUUUAGUGAGGGCCUCGGAUUGGCCUCGGCCCGCUCUUUACCGGGCGGCGCCGUUGGUCGAGAAGACGCUCGAACUUGAUCGUUUAGAGGAAGUAAAAGUCGUAACA
This 334-nucleotide ribosomal RNA is filed under the name uncultured eukaryote. RNAcentral describes it as "partial 18S ribosomal RNA". It matches the Rfam family "Eukaryotic small subunit ribosomal RNA", at positions 1470 to 1796 of the family's 1831-position model. The record is from RNAcentral.